Molecule: ribosomal RNA, 459 nt
Filed under: uncultured bacterium
Lineage: Bacteria
Description: partial 16S ribosomal RNA
Rfam family: Bacterial small subunit ribosomal RNA
Source: RNAcentral
CCUACGGGUGGCAGCAGUGAGGAAUAUUGGUCAAUGGGCGCAAGCCUGAACCAGCCAAGUAGCGUGAAGGAUGACGGCCCUACGGGUUGUAAACUUCUUUUAUACGGGAAUAACACGCCUCACGUGUAGCGUUUCGCAUGUACCCUAUGAAUAAGCAUCGGCUAACUCCGUGCCAGCAGCCGCGGUAAUACGGAGGGUGCGAGCGUUAUCCGGAUUUAUUGGGUUUAAAGGGUGCGUAGGCGGAAGGUCAAGUCUGCGGUAAAAUUGAGAGGCUCAACCGCGUCGUGCCGGGGAAACUGGGGUUCUUGAGUGAGUGGGAAGCAGGCGGAAUUCGUGGGGUAGCGGUGAAAUGCUGAGAUAUGACGCAGAACUCCGAUUGCGAAGGCAGCAUACUGGCGCGCAACGGACGCUGAUGCUCGAAAGUGUGGGUAUCGAACAGGAUUAGAUACCCCAGUAGUC